RNAcentral lists this ribosomal RNA (862 nucleotides) under uncultured bacterium. Its description in RNAcentral is "bacterial SSU rRNA". It matches the Rfam family "Bacterial small subunit ribosomal RNA", at positions 28 to 898 of the family's 1533-position model. The record is from RNAcentral.
GAUGAACGCUAGCGGCAGGCUUAACACAUGCAAGUCGAGGGGUAGUCAUCUUCGGAUGAUGAGACCGGCGCACGGGUGCGUAACGCGUAUACAAUCUACCUUUUACAGAGGGAUAGCCCAGAGAAAUUUGGAUUAAUACCUCAUAGCAUUGCAGAAUGGCAUCAUUCAGCAAUUAAAGUCACAACGGUAAAAGAUGAGCAUGCGUCCCAUUAGCUUGUUGGUAAGGUAACGGCUUACCAAGGCUACGAUGGGUAGGGGUCCUGAGAGGGAGAUCCCCCACACUGGUACUGAGACACGGACCAGACUCCUACGGGAGGCAGCAGUGAGGAAUAUUGGUCAAUGGACGCAAGUCUGAACCAGCCAUGCCGCGUGCAGGAUGACGGUCCUAUGGAUUGUAAACUGCUUUUGCACAGGAAGAAACAACAUUACGUGUAAUGUCUUGACGGUACUGUGAGAAUAAGGAUCGGCUAACUCCGUGCCAGCAGCCGCGGUAAUACGGAGGAUCCAAGCGUUAUCCGGAAUCAUUGGGUUUAAAGGGUCCGUAGGCGGUUUAGUAAGUCAGUGGUGAAAGCCCAUCGCUCAACGGUGGAACGGCUAUUGAUACUGCUAGACUUGAAUUAUUAGGAAGUAACUAGAAUAUGUAGUGUAGCGGUGAAAUGCUUAGAGAUUACAUGGAAUACCAAUUGCGAAGGCAGGUUACUACUAAUGGAUUGACGCUGAUGGACGAAAGCGUGGGUAGCGAACAGGAUUAGAUACCCUGGUAGUCCACGCCGUAAACGAUGGAUACUAGCUGUUGGAAGCAAUUUCAGUGGCUAAGCGAAAGUGAUAAGUAUCCCACCUGGGGAGUACGUUCGCAGAUGAA